GUGCCAGCAGCCGCGGUAAUACGUAGGGGGCGAGCGUUGUCCGGAAUUACUGGGCGUAAAGGGUGCGUAGGCGGCCAUUUAAGUCUUGUGUGAAAGGCCCCGGCUUAACCGGGGAGCUGCAUGGGAAACUGGAUGGCUUGAGUGCUGGAGAGGGUUGCGGAAUUCCCAGUGUAGCGGUGAAAUGCGUAGAUAUUGGGAGGAACACCAGUGGCGAAGGCGGCAACCUGGACAGUAACUGACGCUGAGGCACG
This 251-nucleotide ribosomal RNA is filed under the name uncultured bacterium. RNAcentral describes it as "partial 16S rRNA". It matches the Rfam family "Bacterial small subunit ribosomal RNA", at positions 505 to 755 of the family's 1533-position model. The record is from RNAcentral.